RNAcentral lists this ribosomal RNA (1107 nucleotides) under Burkholderia pseudomallei 305. RNAcentral describes it as "bacterial LSU rRNA". It matches the Rfam family "Bacterial large subunit ribosomal RNA", at positions 1814 to 2925 of the family's 2925-position model. Lineage: Bacteria; Pseudomonadati; Pseudomonadota; Betaproteobacteria; Burkholderiales; Burkholderiaceae. The record is from RNAcentral.
CACAGCACUCUGCAACACGAAAGUGGACGUAUAGGGUGUGACGCCUGCCCGGUGCCGGAAGAUUAAAUGAUGGGGUGCAAGCUCUUGAUUGAAGUCCCGGUAAACGGCGGCCGUAACUAUAACGGUCCUAAGGUAGCGAAAUUCCUUGUCGGGUAAGUUCCGACCUGCACGAAUGGCGUAACGAUGGCCACACUGUCUCCUCCCGAGACUCAGCGAAGUUGAAGUGUUUGUGAUGAUGCAAUCUACCCGCGGCUAGACGGAAAGACCCCAUGAACCUUUACUGUAGCUUUGCAUUGGACUUUGAACCGAUCUGUGUAGGAUAGGUGGGAGGCUAUGAAACCGGAACGCUAGUUUCGGUGGAGCCGUCCUUGAAAUACCACCCUGGUUUGUUUGAGGUUCUAACCUUGGCCCGUGAUCCGGGUCGGGGACAGUGCAUGGUAGGCAGUUUGACUGGGGCGGUCUCCUCCCAAAGCGUAACGGAGGAGUACGAAGGUACGCUAGGUACGGUCGGAAAUCGUGCUGAUAGUGCAAUGGCAUAAGCGUGCUUAACUGCGAGACCGACAAGUCGAGCAGGUGCGAAAGCAGGUCAUAGUGAUCCGGUGGUUCUGUAUGGAAGGGCCAUCGCUCAACGGAUAAAAGGUACUCUGGGGAUAACAGGCUGAUACCGCCCAAGAGUUCAUAUCGACGGCGGUGUUUGGCACCUCGAUGUCGGCUCAUCUCAUCCUGGGGCUGUAGCCGGUCCCAAGGGUAUGGCUGUUCGCCAUUUAAAGAGGUACGUGAGCUGGGUUUAAAACGUCGUGAGACAGUUUGGUCCCUAUCUGCCGUGGGCGUUGGAAGUUUGAAGGGGGCUGCUCCUAGUACGAGAGGACCGGAGUGGACGAACCUCUGGUGUACCGGUUGUGACGCCAGUCGCAUCGCCGGGUAGCUAUGUUCGGAAGAGAUAACCGCUGAAAGCAUCUAAGCGGGAAACUCGCCUUAAGAUGAGACUUCCCCGGGGACUUGAUCCCCUUGAAGGGUCGUUCGAGACCAGGACGUUGAUAGGUCGGGUGUGUAAGCGCAGUAAUGCGUUCAGCUAACCGAUACUAAUUGCCCGUACGGCUUGAUCCU